AGUGGCGAACGGGUGAGUAAUAUAUCGGAACGUACCUUGUAAUGGGGGAUAACUAGUCGAAAGAUUAGCUAGUACCGCAUACGCCCUGAGGGGGAAAGUAGGGGAUCUUCGGACCUUACGUUAUAAGAGCGGCCGAUAUCUGAUUAGCUAGUUGGUGGGGUAAUGGCCUACCAAGGCGACGAUCAGUAGCUGGUCUGAGAGGACGACCAGCCACACUGGAACUGAGACACGGUCCAGACUCCUACGGGAGGCAGCAGUGGGGAAUUUUGGACAAUGGGCGCAAGCCUGAUCCAGCCAUUCCGCGUGAGUGAAGAAGGCCUUCGGGUUGUAAAGCUCUUUCGCAAGGGAAGAAAACUUAUUCUCUAAUAUAGGAUGAGGUUGACGGUACCUUGAUAAGAAGCACCGGCUAACUACGUGCCAGCAGCCGCGGUAAUACGUAGGGUGCGAGCGUUAAUCGGAAUUACUGGGCGUAAAGCGUGCGCAGGCGGUUUUGUAAGUCAGAUGUGAAAUCCCCGAGCUCAACUUGGGAACUGCGUUUGAAACUACAAGACUAGAAUAUGUCAGAGGGGGGUAGAAUUCCACGUGUAGCAGUGAAAUGCGUAGAGAUGUGGAGGAAUACCAAUGGCGAAGGCAGCCCCCUGGGAUAAUAUUGACGCUCAUGCACGAAAGCGUGGGGAGCAAACAGGAUUAGAUACCCUGG
RNAcentral lists this ribosomal RNA (700 nucleotides) under uncultured beta proteobacterium. RNAcentral's name for it is "bacterial SSU rRNA". It matches the Rfam family "Bacterial small subunit ribosomal RNA", at positions 94 to 790 of the family's 1533-position model. Lineage: Bacteria; Pseudomonadati; Pseudomonadota; Betaproteobacteria. The record is from RNAcentral.